UCCCCUCAGUGGCAAACGGGCGAGUAAUACAUAUUUAACCUACGUGUGCGAGGAGGAUAGCAUCCCGAAAGGGGUAUUAAUACUCCAUAGGUUUAUGGAAUAAUAUAUUAAAGGGCGCUCCCGAAAGGGGGCGUUGCGCACAAAUGGGAAUAUGUCCUAUUAGGUAGUUGGCGGGGUAAAUGCCCACCAAGCCUAUGAUGGGUAGCUGGGCUGAGAGGUUGUACAGCCGCAAUGGGAUUGAGAUAUGGCCCAUAUUCCUACGGGAAGCAGCAGUGAGGAAUUUUUCACAAUGGACGAAAGUCUGAUGGAGCAAUACCACGUGAACGAUGAAUGUCUUCUGAUUGUAAAGUUCUUUUAUUUAGGAUAAAAAGCAUGAUAGGAAAUGAUUGUGCCUUGAUAGUACUAAAUGAAUAAGUGACAGCUAACUAUGUGCCAGCAGCUGCGGUAACACAUAGGUCACAAGCAUUAUCCGGAUUUAUUGGGCGUAAAGGAAGCGUAGGCGGACAGUCUGAUCCAGUGUUAAAUGCAUCUGCUCAACAGAUGUAUGCAUUGGAGAUCACCUGUCUAGAAUUAGUUAGGGGGUACUGGAAUUCAAUGUGGAGCGGUGGAAUGCGUAGAUAUAUUGAGGAACACCAGAGGCUAAGGCGAGUACCUGGAACAUAAUUGACGCUGAGGCUUGAAAGCGUGGGGAGCAAAUGGGAUUAGAUACCCCAGUAGUCCACGCCGUAAACGAUGGGUAUUAGGUAUCUGGGGAUAUCCUGGGUGCUGUAGCUAACGCGUUAAAUACCCCGCCUGG
Molecule: ribosomal RNA, 796 nt
Filed under: uncultured Mycoplasma sp.
Lineage: Bacteria; Bacillati; Mycoplasmatota; Mollicutes; Mycoplasmatales; Mycoplasmataceae
Description: bacterial SSU rRNA
Rfam family: Bacterial small subunit ribosomal RNA
Source: RNAcentral